CCGGCGUCGGUGGAUAUGAUUUUCAAGCCCGCGUACAAAAUUCCGUUAAAAUAGUAUAAAAAUUAAAUUAUCGAAGUAAAUAAAUAUAAUUUUUAAUAUAUAAUAAAGUUUUUUAAAGCCAUAGAGUCAUUUUAGAUCAAUAAUUAGUCGUGAACAACGUUUAUUGUCAGUAAUACAAUCGGAGCACUUAUUUUGGUGGUUUGCGAUUACGGCGUCAUUAGUCCGUUAGUUAAUUUUAUUAAUUUUUUAGUGUUUUUUUGUACAAAAAAUAAUAGUUUUGUAUAAUUAAAAAGUGUAUCUAUUAUUUAAGUGUAAAAAUGAAGCGUUUUGUAGUGUGUUAAUACAAGUAGAGCAAAUUUAUUGUGUUGCGAGCAAUAAAUUGGAGUAGGUGAAUUCCUGGAAAAGCUUCUAGGACAUCAAAAUAAACAAGGUCGGAAGUUUAUUGUGUGACCUUUAUGAUACAUUUGCAGACAUGAUGCUCCUCCCCAGAUGAAAAGAUGAGAAAGGGAUGGUCGUGGGAUCGACAAUUAUACUCCUUUAUCUGGUGAGAAUUAAUAUAGGAUUACUUUAGCUUGGAGACUUGAAUGUGGCAAACGACAAAGCACUUCCAGGAUAAUGUGUUGAGACAUCAAAAAAAGGAUAAGGUCGUGACAGAUGGGGGAAGUCCGAGCACUAGAUAGACAGAUUACACUUGACCCUUGAGAGGAGAACUCAACCACGAAUCAACUUUAUAUCAAGAUCGUAUUCUCGUCUAAUAAUUAUUUUUCAUUUAUUUUUAUAAAAAAGAUCCCCAUUUUUUUUUUUACUUAUAAAUCUGAUAUUUUCUACAAACCCAAAGUGUUCGCAAAAAAAUGAUAAUGUACUUACUUUAAUAAGCUUACGGUAAGUAUGAUUUAAUAACGAAACUUGGUGUAUGAUGAUGUACUUAAGAA
This is a long non-coding RNA of Chelonus insularis, 932 nucleotides long. RefSeq lists it as uncharacterized. The record is from RefSeq and is a predicted model, not a curated record. Lineage: Eukaryota; Metazoa; Arthropoda; Insecta; Hymenoptera; Braconidae. The transcript has 4 exons.